AGGCGGGGGCAGUGACCCGAGAGAGGGGACCAGACGGGGCUGCCAAGCUGUCGUGGCCUCUUCCAGAAGGUCCUGCGGCGGAAAUGUUCUGCACACGGCCCUUAGAAGGUCCUGGGAGGCGAGGCCUCUGCCCCCCCGGGGGCAGCUACAAGCCAGCUGCAGGGUCUUCCAGAAAGGCACAUUGUGCUGGCCACCUCGCCCCUCCAUAGAAAGAUCCCUGUAAGUUUCUCCACCUCCAGCUGUCCUGAGGACCGCAGCUUGGGGCCUUCCGCACGGGGCGCCCUGCCUGAGUCCUCCCUAGUUGUUCUCUUCACUUCCUCUCCGCCCUGCUUCUGCUCCUCCUCCGAGCCGCACACGGCCUGCCCCAGGGCCUGGGCAUCACCAGCUUCUCUCUUUGCUCCGCACCUUUGCCCAUGCUGUUCCCUCUGCGUGGAACUCCCUCCCCCCACCUCUUCACCAGACUGUGGUUUAUCCCGGAAAUUCUGGCUUCCUUCUUUCACAUGCCAAAGAUUUGCCAGGCAUCAUGUCUUUAUCGGGCACCCUGCCAGGGAUUAGGGAGCAGGGGCUGAGGAGAGGCCGCUUCCUAGCUGGGAGGCAGGAUAAAAAGAGUCAACAGUAACUAGAAGCGAGGGACUUUCUUAAAAGAGUUAAAUGCUGCAAGAACAACUGGUCUGCAAUCUGGCUGAGAAGGAGCCGCCUGGAGGAAGUGAGAAGAGAGCGCCAGGCAGAGGGCACAGCAAGUGCAGCGGCUCAGAGGUUGGGAAAUGGGCUUGGAGAGUUCAGGAAUCAGAAAGGCGGCCAUGUGGCUGGCUUCGAGGGAGUGAGAGGAAGUGUCCUCAGGUGGGGCUGAAGAGCUGGGUCUCCAUGGGUGGCAGACCCUAUGAGGAGCUCGGCGGCCGCUUCUCCAGGAAGACCUCCUUGACUGCAUCAGGGCACUCACUCUUGGCACUCAGCUACCGUGCUGUGAGGAAGAUCAGCUAGCCUCAGAGAAGUCGUAUGAAAGGACUCCAGCUGUCAGCUCAGCUGAGGCCCCAGCCAGCAACUGCCGGCACCAACUGCUGGACAUGAGUAAAGCCUCCUCCAGCAGAUUCUAGCCCCCAGCCGUCAAGUCCUAGCCGAUCUGCAAGUCUUGCCAGAUGGAAAAACUGAAUCACAGAAUGAUUUAGGCACUUGCCCAAAGCCACAGGCUAUUAAGUGGCAGAUUGGGAUUUGAAUCCAGGCAAUCUGGUCCCAGAAACUGCUGCGCUGAUUACUAAACUUCAUAUAUGUACGUAUAUAUGUUUUUAAAUAUAGAUUCAUAUAUUCAUGUAUGAAAUAUUCCUAUAUAUAUAUUUUGACAUCCCUAGUCUUCCUAUAUGCAUAAUACUCAUAUGUAAUGUUUCUAUAUAUAGUAUUUAUAUAUAAUGUCCAUGUAUUUUUACAAAUAAUAUUUAUGCAUAAUACUAUAAUAUGGUUUUCUUAUAUAUGAUACUCCUAUUAUGGGCAUAAUACUUACAGGCACAAUUCUUUAUAAGGAUAAUAUUCCCAUGUAUUCUUUUAUAUAAUAUUGCUAUAUAAAAUAUUCUUAAAUAUAGUAUUUCUUGAUAUAUGAUAUUGCUUUAUAUAGAACAUUCAUAAAUGUAAAAUACUCACUUUUAUAACAUUCCUCCAUGUGUUUCUGCACAUAAUAUGCCUAAACAAACAUUUCCAUGUAUAUUCCUGUGUAGUUGACCCUUGAACAACAUGGUUUUGAGCUGCCCGGGUACAUUUCAUAUGCUGAUUUUCUUCAAUAGAUAUAUUGGAAAAGUUUUUGGAGAUUUCCAACAAUUUGGAAAGACAUUUUCUUUUAUCUAGCUUACUUUAGUCUAAGAAUACAGUACAUAAUAUACAUAACAUACAAAAUAUGUGUUAAUCAAUGGUUUAUGUUGUUGGUAAGGCUUCUGGCCAAUAAUAGGCUGUUAGUAGUGAAGUUUUGGGAGAGUCAAAAGUUAUACACAAAUUUUCAAGGGCACAUGGGGUCAGCACCCCUAACCCCUUGCAUUACUCAAGGAUCAAUUGUAUAUACAAUGUUCAUCUAUAUAUGAGUACAUAUACAUAGUAUUCCUAUAUACAAUAGUCCUAUAUAUAGUAUUCUCUUGUAUUCCUAUACAUAAAACUUCUUUUUAAGUAACGUUCAUAUAUAUUAUGUAAAGAACCCUUUUACA
Long non-coding RNA from Manis pentadactyla (Chinese pangolin), 2183 nucleotides. RefSeq lists it as uncharacterized. The transcript has 3 exons. Lineage: Eukaryota; Metazoa; Chordata; Mammalia; Pholidota; Manidae. The record is from RefSeq and is a predicted model, not a curated record.